This 68-nucleotide transfer RNA is filed under the name Sphaerodactylus townsendi. RNAcentral's name for it is "tRNA-Ala". It matches the Rfam family "tRNA". Rfam says of the family: Transfer RNA (tRNA) molecules are approximately 80 nucleotides in length. Their secondary structure includes four short double-helical elements and three loops (D, anti-codon, and T loops). Further hydrogen bonds mediate the characteristic L-shaped molecular structure. tRNAs have two regions of fundamental functional importance: the anti-codon, which is responsible for specific mRNA codon recognition, and the 3' end, to which the tRNAs corresponding amino acid is attached (by aminoacyl-tRNA synthetases). tRNAs cope with the degeneracy of the genetic code in two manners: having more than one tRNA (with a specific anti-codon) for a particular amino acid; and 'wobble' base-pairing, i.e. permitting non-standard base-pairing at the 3rd anti-codon position. Lineage: Eukaryota; Metazoa; Chordata; Lepidosauria; Squamata; Sphaerodactylidae. The record is from RNAcentral.
GGGCAUGUGGCUCAGUGCUAAAGUAUCUGCUUGGCAUGCCGAAGUUCCCAGGUUCCCUGGCAUAUCCA